GAAAUGCGAUAAGUAAUGUGAAUUGCAGAAUUCAGUGAAUCAUCGAAUCUUUGAACACACCUUGCGCUCCUUGGUAUUCCUUGGAGCAUGCCUGUUUGAGUAUCAUGAAAUCUUCAAAGUAAAUCUUUUGUUAACUCAAUUGGUUUCUACUUUGGUAUUGGAGGUCUUUGCAGCUUCACACCUGCUCCUCUUUGUUCAUUAGCUGGAUCUCAGUGUUAUGCUUGGUUCCACUCGGCGUGAUAAGUUAUCUAUCGCUGAGGACACUGUAAAAGGUGGCCAAGGUAAAUGCAGAUGAACCGCUUCUAAUAGUCCAUUGACUUGGACAAUACUUAUAUGAUCUGAUCUCAAAUCAGGUAGGACUACCCGCUGAACUUAAGC
Molecule: unclassified non-coding RNA, 378 nt
Filed under: plant metagenome
Description: partial contains 5.8S ribosomal RNA, internal transcribed spacer 2, and large subunit ribosomal RNA
Rfam family: 5.8S ribosomal RNA (bases 1-105)
Source: RNAcentral